RNAcentral lists this ribosomal RNA (443 nucleotides) under uncultured bacterium. RNAcentral describes it as "partial 16S ribosomal RNA". It matches the Rfam family "Bacterial small subunit ribosomal RNA", at positions 338 to 795 of the family's 1533-position model. The record is from RNAcentral.
CCUACGGGUGGCAGCAGUGGGGAAUAUUGGGCAAUGGGCGCAAGCCUGACCCAGCAACGCCGCGUGAAGGAAGAAGGCUUUCGGGUUGUAAACUUCUUUUCUCAGGGACGAAACAAGUGACGGUACCUGAGGAAUAAGCCACGGCUAACUACGUGCCAGCAGCAGCGGCAAUACGUAGGUGGCAAGCGUUAUCCGGAUUUACUGGGUGUAAAGGGCGUGUAGGCGGGAAAGCAAGUCAGAUGUGAAAACCAUGGGCUCAACCUGUGGCCUGCAUUUGAAACUGUUUUUCUUGAGUACUGGAGAGGCAGACGGAAUUCCUAGUGUAGCGGUGAAAUGCGUAGAUAUUAGGAGGAACACCAGUGGCGAAGGCGGUCUGCUGGACAGUAACUGACGCUGAGGCGCGAAAGCGUGGGGAGCAAACAGGAUUAGAUACCCGUGUAGUC